RNAcentral lists this ribosomal RNA (443 nucleotides) under uncultured bacterium. RNAcentral describes it as "partial 16S ribosomal RNA". It matches the Rfam family "Bacterial small subunit ribosomal RNA", at positions 338 to 795 of the family's 1533-position model. The record is from RNAcentral.
CCUACGGGGGGCAGCAGUGGGGAAUAUUGGGCAAUGGGCGCAAGCCUGAUCCAGCAACGCCGCGUGAAGGAAGAAGGCUUUCGGGUUGUAAACUUCUUUUCUCAGGGACGAAGCAAGUGACGGUACCUGAGGAAGAAGCCACGGCUAACUACGUGCCAGCAGCCGCGGUACUACGUAGGUGGCAAGCGUUAUCCGGAUUUACUGGGUGUAAAGGGCGUGUAGGCGGGAAAGCAAGUCAGAAGUGAAAACCAUGGGCUCAACCUGUGGCCUGCAUUUGAAACUGUUUUUCUUGAGUACUGGAGAGGCAGACGGAAUUCCUAGUGUAGCGGUGAAAUGCGUAGAUAUUAGGAGGAACACCAGUGGCGAAGGCGGUCUGCUGGACAGCAACUGACGCUGAGGCGCGAAAGCGUGGGGAGCAAACAGGAUUAGAUACCCUUGUAGUC